Molecule: ribosomal RNA, 433 nt
Filed under: uncultured bacterium
Lineage: Bacteria
Description: partial 16S ribosomal RNA
Rfam family: Bacterial small subunit ribosomal RNA
Source: RNAcentral
AGCGAACGCUGGCGGCAGGCCUAACACAUGCAAGUCGAACGAACCUUUCGGGGUUAGUGGCGGACGGGUGAGUAACACGUGGGAACGUGCCUUUAGGUUCGGAAUAACUCAGGGAAACUUGUGCUAAUACCGAAUGUGCCCUUCGGGGGAAAGAUUAAUCGCCUUUAGAGCGGCCCGCGUCUGAUUAGCUAGUUGGUUGAGGUAAUGGCUCACCAAGGCGACGAUCAGUAGCUGGUCUGAGAGGAUGAUCAGCCACAUUGGGACUGAGACACGGCCCAAACCCCUACGGGAGGGAGCAGUGGGGAAUCUUGCGCAAUGGGCGAAAGCCUGACGCAGCCAUGCCGGGUGAAUUAUGAAGGUCUUAGGAUUUAAAAAUUCUUUCCCCGGGGACGAUAAUGACGGUACCCGGAGAAGAAGCCCCGGCUAACUUCGU